RNAcentral lists this ribosomal RNA (252 nucleotides) under uncultured bacterium. Its description in RNAcentral is "partial 16S ribosomal RNA". It matches the Rfam family "Bacterial small subunit ribosomal RNA", at positions 524 to 776 of the family's 1533-position model. The record is from RNAcentral.
UACGUAGGUCCCGAGCGUUGUCCGGAUUUAAUGGGCGUAAAGCGAGCGCAGGUGGUUUAUUAAGUCUGGUGUAAAAGGCAGUGGCUCAACCAUUGUAUGCAUUGGAAACUGGUAGACUUGAGUGCAGGAGAGGAGAGUGGAAUUCCAUGUGUAGCGGUGAAAUGCGUAGAUAUAUGGAGGAACACCGGUGGCGAAAGCGGCUCUCUGGCCUGUAACUGACACUGAGGCUCGAAAGCGUGGGGAGCAAACAGG